Molecule: long non-coding RNA, 1128 nt
Organism: Folsomia candida
Lineage: Eukaryota; Metazoa; Arthropoda; Collembola; Entomobryomorpha; Isotomidae
Exons: 4
Source: RefSeq, a predicted model, not a curated record
GUUUAGAGACCGGAUUACGUAUGUACAUAUAACAUUUAUUUAACUCUCACUCUUUAAUACGACUCUUGGGCUGACCAAAGUUAUUAAAAAUUGGAUAUGUUGCACAGAUGGACUUGGUAAACCCAGGUGGUGGGUUGUAAAAGUGGACUUUGUCCUACCGGACAAAGUUCAGACUUUUACUUUUACACGUGAAAAGACAAGUUCAUUGAAUCAUAAUCUGCACCAAGGGUGAAUUGUAGUUCUUAAUUUCUUUGUAUAUAUCAGAUGGUCAGUAAAAUUUAUCUGGGCGAUUCACUCCGAUUUUUGCGAUCCAAUCAACUCUGUACUUAUAAUCCACAAGCUAAAAAUGUGGGUAUAAGUUUACAAUGACGACGAUGACAAAAUCUAAGGUUGUAAAUUUAUUUCGUAUCGAAGAUGCUCUAUUUUAUCCAAGUUUGCAAAAUAUAGUUUUGCAUUUAUAAAUUAAUUGUCCAAUUUAAUAUGGAUUCCAUACACUCUUAGAAACUGGGUAUUGAUCUUUGAAAAACUUUAAUACCAUCGUGCUGGUAUCAUUACACAUUCACGAUUGGGUAUUAAAAUAUUGCGAAAAAUCAAUACCACGAGCUUGUACGUGCAGAGUGUUAACUUGUAAUACCGAGCUGGUAAAACAUCAAUACUGACCGGUACCGAUUUUAUACCACGUUUACGCAGUCUCAAAUCUGUCCGGUAUAGACUUGGGCGCGGGAUGUGCAAACUACUCACUUGCAGUUAAUCGUUGUCUUUUUAGAAAUAAGUUCUUCUAAAUUAGUUCGGCUGGGGAAUUACUUGGGGGGAAGAAAUUGAGUACUUCCGAUGGAAACUUUUAAAGGCAAGUUCAUCGACUUAUCCAAUUCCUUGUUCCGGUCGUGAAUAUAGGAUUGAGGAUAAUUUUAGUGGCAGAUUUCUUAUCGAAUCAGGAGAUCCAGUCAGCUCAGCUCAACUCUUCCACAUUAUUAUGUAUGUACAAGCUUUUAAAAUUAACUUAUUCCACUAUCUUGUAUAUGGUUGAUUUCCAUUUUUUGUAAAUGUUUAUGUAUGUAUGUCAUUUAUAAUUUUCUGACUUGUAAAUUACAAGUUGUAAUUGGAUAAAAUAAAUAACAUUUAAAUCAA